Molecule: ribosomal RNA, 497 nt
Filed under: uncultured bacterium
Lineage: Bacteria
Description: partial 16S ribosomal RNA
Rfam family: Bacterial small subunit ribosomal RNA
Source: RNAcentral
GAUGAACGCUGGCGGCGUGCCUAAUACAUGCAAGUCGAGCGAACAGACGAGGAGCUUGCUCCUCUGACGUUAGCGUCGGACGGGUGAGUAACACGUGGAUAACCUACCUAUAAGACUGGGAUAACUUCGUGAAACCGUAGCUAAUACCGGAUAAUAUAUUGAACCGCAUGGUUCAAUAGUGAAAGACGGUUUUGCUUUCACUUAUCGAUGGAUCCGCGCCGCAUUAGCUAGUUGGUAAGGUAACGGCUUACCAAGGCAACGAUGCGUAGCCGACCUGAGAGGGUGAUCGGCCACACUGGAACUGAGACACGGUCCAGACUCCUACGGGAGGCAGCAGUAGGGAAUCUUCCGCAAUGGGCGAAAGCCUGACGGAGCAACGCCGCGUGAGUGAUGAAGGUCUUCGGAUCGUAAAACUCUGUUAUUAGGGAAGAACAAAUGUGUAAGUAACUAUGCACGUCUUGACGGUACCUAAUCAGAAAGCCACGGCUAACUACGUG